CUUCACAGCAUCACUAACGCUUUCUUUUAGAUCGUAAGCAACCGUACGACACACGAAUGUGUCCUAAAAGGUGUAUUAGUUGUUCACCUUGUUCUCUCCAAUACACGCCGCGAAAUAGGUCUUAUUAUUUUACUCAUAUUUUUACAUAUUAGUAAACCUUGCUCGAUAAUAGAUGUCAGAUUAUACUUGGACGCUGAGUAACAUUUUACCUACUACAGAAGAGUGAUGUGCGAUGAUUUCUCAUUUCUUGUACAAACUAUUCCAACGCUGUAAAUCUGUACUUUUUGUUUGCCUCACAGGAUACUUUAUAACGCUUUUCCAUCCCGACCUUCUGUUCUUUUAGUACCUUAUUAUCACAAAACAAACUCAAUAUUUCUGUAACCAUGUCUCUAACGCAAUGUUCCAAAUAAACAAAUAAUUACGGUGUUGCUUGAUUUUUUCUCUCUUUAUACCGAACAUCCUCCCGUCGAAACGUCGAGUUUGCAUAGUUCCUAGACAUUUCUAACACUUACAGGUGGCGCCGUAACAAGUUCAACAUCUCCAAAGGAAGAGGAAUUCAAGGUCCCGAACCGAGCGUGUUGUCGGGGAACUUUUACGAGUUCUGGAACAAGCAUGUACAACGGUGAUGUACCAUUCCUUAUGGUGAAAGACCUGGAGCUGCUUCGUCAGGUGUUCGUCACAGACUUCGCCAUGUUCAUGAAUCGAGGGGACGUGUGGGCAACCAUGAAUGGAAACCCUGAGCUUCGCAAUACGCUGCCUUUCGCCAAGUCCGACCGAUGGAAGUUCCUCAGGCGUACAGUGUCCAUUGGAUUUACAGCGUCCAAAAUGCGGCGGGUUCUCUUCGCAGGAGAAGGCCAACCGCCAUCCCCUCGCCUUUCAGCCGUUCGGAAUGGGCGCUCGCAACUGCGGUGGGUCGAGACUCGCCCUGCUGGAAGUUACUCUCAUCGUUGCCAGACUGGUGCAUCGUUACCUGCUGCAUUUAGGAUCCCGGCAUGCGAACGGCGAACUGGAACGCAGGACACAAUCCAGCGUAGCUUCGCCAAAGGAAGGUGUCUGGAUUCGCGUAGAAAAGAUACUCUAGUGGACCUGGUAGUCAACUCUCAUGAUUACGCACUAAUGAUAAGCAAAACAAACAGGCCUGCAAUGACUCGACCUCGUCCUUGGCAAGCUCCAUAUCACGGUAUACAAGGUAUCUACAACGGCAAGGCGCUUACUUUCUUUCAGUGUUUCAGAAGGUAGCUUUGAAAAUAUGCAGUGAGGAGUACUCAUGGAUUUUGCGCACUUAUGAAAGUGGACGCUAUAGCCUACUAAAAUUGUCGGAAAGUAUUAUUUGUGAGGUGAAUGAUAUUUCAGAAUGUACAAUGUUAUUUAUGUUAUUCCUGGUUUUGUCCCAUUUUCUAUCUAACGAUCUUGUCUGAGUUGUGCACAAACAUCUCUUUCUGCGUACAUGUUUACUUUCAUCUCUCUGCGUGCUCGAAAUUCAGUUCACACUACUAUGGCACG
This is a non-coding RNA of Dermacentor albipictus, 1503 nucleotides long. NCBI's taxonomy places the organism in Eukaryota, Metazoa, Arthropoda, Arachnida, Ixodida, Ixodidae. The record is from RefSeq and is a predicted model, not a curated record.